CCUACGGGCGGCAGCAGUGAGGAAUAUUGGUCAAUGGGCGCGAGUCUGAACCAGCCAAGCAGCGUGAAGGAUGACUGCCCUACGGGUUGUAAACUUCUUUUAUAAAGGAGUAAAUCCGGGACCGUGUCUUUUUUUGAUAGUAUUUUAGGAUUAAGGAUCGGCUAACUCCUUGCCAGCAACCGCGGUAAUAGGGAUGAUUCAAGCGUUAUCCGGAUUUAUUGGGUUUAAAGGGUGCGUAGGUGGGUUGUUAAGUUAGUGGUUAAAGUUUGCGGCUCAACUGUAACAUUGCAAUUGAUACUGGCAGUCUUGAGUUCAGUUGAGGUAGGCGGAAUUCAUGGUGUAGCGGUGAAAUGCUUAGAUAUCACGAAGAACUCCGAUUGCGAAGGCAGCUUACUAAACUGCCACUGACAUUGAUGCUCGAAAGUGUGGGUAUCAAACAGGAUUAGAUACCCGAGUAGUC
This 460-nucleotide ribosomal RNA is filed under the name uncultured bacterium. RNAcentral describes it as "partial 16S ribosomal RNA". It matches the Rfam family "Bacterial small subunit ribosomal RNA", at positions 338 to 795 of the family's 1533-position model. The record is from RNAcentral.